Molecule: ribosomal RNA, 601 nt
Filed under: uncultured bacterium
Lineage: Bacteria
Description: bacterial SSU rRNA
Rfam family: Bacterial small subunit ribosomal RNA
Source: RNAcentral
CGACGCUCAUGCUCGAAGGCGCGGGUAUCAAACAGGAUUAGAUACCCUGGUAGUCCGCGCGGUAAAACGAUGGACACUCGGGAUUUGCCCUAUUGGGUGAGUCCCCCAGCGAAAGCGUUAAGUGUCCCACCUGGGGAGUACGCCGGCAACGGUGAAACUCAAAGGAAUUGACGGGGGCCCGCACAAGCGGAGGAACAUGUGGUUUAAUUCGAUGAUACGCGAGGAACCUUACCCGGGCUUGAAAUGUGCAUGACGACCCCGAGAGACCGGGGUCUCCUUCGGGCAUGCAUGUAGGUGCUGCAUGGUUGUCGUCAGCUCGUGCCGUGAGGUGUCGGCUCAAGUGCCAUAACGAGCGCAACCCCUUCCGCCGGUUACCAUCGGGUUAUGCCGGGGACUCCGGCGGCACUGCCGCCGCAAGGCGUGAGGAAGGCGGGGAUGACGUCAAAUCAGCACGGCCCUCACGUCCGGGGCCACACACGUGUUACAAUGGGGGGCACAGCGAGCGGGAUGAUGGCGACAUCAUUCGAAUCAACAAAUCCCCUCCCAGUUCGGACUGGAGUCUGCAACCCGACUCCACGAAGCCGGAUUCGCUAGUAAUCGC